This 847-nucleotide ribosomal RNA is filed under the name Vibrio parahaemolyticus. RNAcentral describes it as "partial 23S ribosomal RNA". It matches the Rfam family "Bacterial large subunit ribosomal RNA", at positions 1528 to 2417 of the family's 2925-position model. Lineage: Bacteria; Pseudomonadati; Pseudomonadota; Gammaproteobacteria; Vibrionales; Vibrionaceae. The record is from RNAcentral.
AGAGUUAGGUAAAUCCGGCUCUUUUUAAGGCUGAGACACGACGUCGAGCCACUACGGUGGUGAAGUCAUUGAUGCCAUGCUUCCAGGAAAAGCCUCUAAGCUUCAGAUUGUAAGGAAUCGUACCCCAAACCGACACAGGUGGUCGGGUAGAGAAUACCAAGGCGCUUGAGAGAACUCGGGUGAAGGAACUAGGCAAAAUGGUACCGUAACUUCGGGAGAAGGUACGCUCUCGACGGUGAAGUCCCUCGCGGAUGGAGCUAUUGAGAGUCGCAGAUACCAGGUGGCUGCAACUGUUUAUUAAAAACACAGCACUGUGCAAAAUCGUAAGAUGACGUAUACGGUGUGACGCCUGCCCGGUGCCGGAAGGUUAAUUGAUGGGGUUAGACUUCGGUCGAAGCUCUUGAUCGAAGCCCCGGUAAACGGCGGCCGUAACUAUAACGGUCCUAAGGUAGCGAAAUUCCUUGUCGGGUAAGUUCCGACCUGCACGAAUGGCGUAAUGAUGGCCACGCUGUCUCCACCCGAGACUCAGUGAAAUUGAAAUCGCUGUGAAGAUGCAGUGUACCCGCGGCUAGACGGAAAGACCCCGUUGAAGCACGUACGCCAGUAUGUGUGGAGCCGUCCUUGAAAUACCACCCUUGUAGUGUUGAUGUUCUAACGUCGACCCCUUAUCGGGGUUGCGGACAGUGCCUGGUGGGUAGUUUGACUGGGGCGGUCUCCUCCCAAAGAGUAACGGAGGAGCACGAAGGUGGGCUAAUCACGGUUGGACAUCGUGAGGUUAGUGCAAUGGCAUAAGCCCGCUUGACUGCGAGAAUGACAAUUCGAGCAGGUGCGAAAGCAGGUCAUAGUG